Lampris incognitus (smalleye Pacific opah) is the source of this 1707-nucleotide long non-coding RNA. RefSeq lists it as uncharacterized. The transcript has 3 exons. NCBI's taxonomy places the organism in Eukaryota, Metazoa, Chordata, Actinopteri, Lampriformes, Lampridae. The record is from RefSeq and is a predicted model, not a curated record.
UUCGGCGCACGCUCGGCGAGACCAAUCCUCUCUGCAACAUCACAAAAGACAGUUGGCAAGAAGCUAGACACAGUGGAAGACAGUUCCCUGACAACCUUGACGUGCCGUCAGCGCUGCAAGGCUGUUUAUUCAGAACAUGCUGCGUAUCAGAGUGCUGGAGGACUCUGUGGAAUGCGGAGUUUUUGUCAUCAACAUCUAUUGUGGAGACUCAGUUCUGCUGGGAUUGUGGAGCAGGAAGCCCCCUUUCCAUAACGGCCAGGUGGAGCAGACGGACGUCAGGUGGGACACAGAGCGAUGCUCAGAGCUGGACUUUGUCCUGCGGGCCCUGCACCGCGCACCGAACCUCCCCAACAGCCACUACUGGCUCCCCUUUGUGCUCGCACUGUGCCUGGACGCUCUGUCCUUCCGCUUCCGCCUGCCAGCCCGAGCCCUGAGCAGUAAAGACAUCCAGGACCUCUUAGAGGAACGUGGCGAACUGAUGCUGCAGCGCUGAGGAACCCGAUGCAGAAAGGAAAACUCAUCUCUGGUAAGUCUAACUGAAGAAGACGCAAGGCUGAGACAUCACCGAAGGUGAGGUGUGGGUUUUUUGCAAACACCAGAUUCCAAUACUCACCAUCAUAGGUGAAGUAAGCCCCAUCCUUGAAGACUACAACUGCAGGAAGCUCUGGCAAAGCCACAGACUGGUGACAACACAUAAAAAAAAAUAUGAUUUAAAAUCAAACUCCAUUAAUUCUCUUUUCCUUUGUUAAUUUAUGGUCACCUGGAAUGUGUGAUAUGGGACCGUUGGCAACAGGCCACCACAGCCAAUUGUGGACCUCAUCCAAAGUAGUGCUGCAAUAGGCAAUGAUAUAUAGUAUAUACGCAUGCACACACGCACACGUACACGCACGCACACACACGCACACACGCAUGCGCGCGCGCACACACACACACACACACACACACACCUGAAUUUGAUGUGCAUCUUACUAUUGAUGUCUGCUAUUUAGUGACAGCAUUGCUAGAGACUGGAAAUUCAUAUCUUUUAGUAAACAAUAAUAAUAAAUGUGAUUCUCACUGGCUAGAAACAAAAUGUAAGGCAAUUAAGCACAAAACCGUUUAUGUAUGAUUUGCAUCCUUGAACUUUGACUAUUUGGAGCCAUGUCUUUUUCCUUUUUUGGGGUGGGAUUUUUCCCUCUUUUGCUCCCCAGCUGUACCCAUCCAAUCACCCCACUCUUCCGAGCCGUCCCGGUCGCUGCUCCACCCCAUCUGCCAAUCUGGGGAGGGCUGCAGACUACCACAUGUCUCCUCCGAUAUAUGUGGAGUCGCCAGCCACUUCUUUCCACCUGACAGUGAGGAGUUUCACCAAGGGGACGUAGUGCAUGGGAGUAUCACGCUAUUCCCCCCCAGUUCCCCCUCCCGCCCGAACAAGUGCCCCGACUGACCAGAGGAGGCGCUAGUGCAGCGACCAGGACACAUACCCACAUCCAGCUUCCCACCUGCAGACACGGCCAAUUGUGUCUGUAGGGACGCCCGACCAAGCCGGAGGCAACACGUGGAUUUGAACCGGUGAUCCCCAUGUUGGCAGGCAACGGAAUGGACCGCUACGCUACCCGGACGCCCCAGUUAUUUAUUUUGAUGAGAAUGAAACCUGAAAAUUUGCAUUAGAUAAAACCGUGCAAUUAUUCACUGAUUUAGUGUAUCUGCAUUGAAAUAAAGAACUUUCCA